GGAAGAAAGCAAUGUCCAGCCUGUGAAAAGCCCUGUAACUAUCUGUGGUGAUAUUCAUGGACAAUUCCAUGAUCUGGCGGAGCUUUUCCGCAUUGGAGGAAAGUGCCCAGAUACAAACUAUUUGUUUAUGGGAGAUUAUGUGGACCGUGGCUAUUAUUCAGUUGAAACAGUGACAGUAAGUACGAGUAUUUUUAUUUCUACUUAU
Malus domestica (apple) is the source of this 205-nucleotide long non-coding RNA. RefSeq lists it as uncharacterized. NCBI's taxonomy places the organism in Eukaryota, Viridiplantae, Streptophyta, Magnoliopsida, Rosales, Rosaceae. The record is from RefSeq and is a predicted model, not a curated record.